Molecule: long non-coding RNA, 1144 nt
Filed under: Zonotrichia albicollis (white-throated sparrow)
Lineage: Eukaryota; Metazoa; Chordata; Aves; Passeriformes; Passerellidae
Description: lncRNA (ENSZALG00000001720.1)
Source: RNAcentral
CUGGGAAAUGCAGGGACAGCUCCUCACCCUUUGCAAAGCUUUGGAACACACCUGGGAAAUGCAGGGACAGCUCCUCACCCUUUGCAAAGCCUUUGGAGGAUCCUGGGAGUUGCAGGAGCAGCUCCUCAGCCUUUGCAAAGUCUUUGGAGAACACCUGGGAAAUGCAGGAGCAGCUCCUCACCCUUUGCAAAGUCUUUGGAACACACCUGGGAAAUGCAGGAGCAGCUCCUCACCCAUUGCAAAGCUUUGGAACACAUCUGGGUAAUGCAGGAGCAGCUCCUCAGCCCUUGCAAAGUCUUUGGAGGAUCCUGGGAGUUGCAGGAGCAGCUCCUCACCCUUUGCAAAGCUUUGGAGAACACCUGGGAAAUGCAGGAGCAGCUCCUCACCCUUUGCAAAGUCUUUGGAGGAUCCUGGGAGUUGCAGGAGCAGCUCCUCACCCUUUGCAAAGCUUUGGAACACACCUGGGAAAUGCAGGAGCAGCUCCUCACCCAUAGCAAAGCCUUUGGAGAACACCUGGGAAAUGCAGGAGCAGCUCCUCACCCUUUGCAAAGCUUUGGAGGAUCCUGGGAAAUGCAGGAGCAGCUCCUCACCCUUUGCAAAGUCUUUGGAGGAUCCUGGGAGUUGCAGGAGCAGCUCCUCACCCUUUGCAAAGUCUUUGGAGGAUCCUGGGAAAUGCAGGGACAGCUCCUCAGCCCUUGCAAAGCUUUGGAACACACCUGGGAAAUGCAGGGACAGCUCCUCACCCUUUGCAAAGCUUUGGAACACACCUGGGAAAUGCAGGAGCGGCUCCUCACCCUUUGCAAAGUCUUUGGAGGAUCCUGGGAGUUGCAGGAGCAGCUCCUCACCCUUUGCAAAGCCUUUGGAACACAUCUGGGAAAUGCAGGAGCAGCUCCUCACCCUUUGCAAAGCUUUGGAGGAUCCAGGGAAAUGCAGGAGCAGCUCCUCACCCUUUGCAAAGCUUUGGAGGAUCCUGGGAAAUGCAGGAGCAGCUCCUCGCCCUUUGCAAAACUUUGGAGGACACUUGGGAGUUGCAGGGACAGCUCCUCACCCUUUGCAAAGCUUUGGAGGAUCCAGGACCCAGAAGAAGGGAGGCAGGAAAAGAACAGCUCUGGACAACCAGGCUACAGCCUCCUGUUAUCUUAAU